Molecule: long non-coding RNA, 346 nt
Filed under: Mustela putorius furo (domestic ferret)
Lineage: Eukaryota; Metazoa; Chordata; Mammalia; Carnivora; Mustelidae
Description: lncRNA (ENSMPUG00000024307.1)
Source: RNAcentral
AACGCCUGGAGUUGCUGCUGAUCCUUGUCCCAGCUUCUCCCAUGUUCUCGCUCUAUGUUUUUACCUUGAAAACUUCUGCUCUGAGCUGGGAAUGCCUGAAGGGCUUGCACGGAUAAAACAAGUAACAAAAGCAAAUGAAUGUGUCAAAGAUAUCAAGCUAAUUACCAGCAUGCUGUUUACUCAUAUGCAAGGCAGAUGAAUCCAUAGAUUGAUUUUAUCCAACAAAAGGGAAAACAAGCUUGAUACAAAUGGAAGAAGAGAGAAGGAGGAAAAACAAAACAUGGCCAAUAUGAGAAGAGUUCUCUGGUUUCCACAUUUGGAGGUAAGUGUUUAAUGCUCAGUUAAA